GCCAGCGUGUUGGAAUUGGUAGACAAAGUGGAUUCAAAAUCCACCGCUUUCGGGCGUGGCGGUUCGAGUCCGCCCGCUGGUACCA
Molecule: transfer RNA, 85 nt
Filed under: Gammaproteobacteria bacterium
Lineage: Bacteria; Pseudomonadati; Pseudomonadota; Gammaproteobacteria
Description: tRNA-Leu
Rfam family: tRNA
About the family: Transfer RNA (tRNA) molecules are approximately 80 nucleotides in length.
Source: RNAcentral